Molecule: long non-coding RNA, 2178 nt
Organism: Eupeodes corollae
Lineage: Eukaryota; Metazoa; Arthropoda; Insecta; Diptera; Syrphidae
Exons: 3
Source: RefSeq, a predicted model, not a curated record
UUUGCCUGUGCCGUGCUGUUUGGCUUUUCAUUUAUUAAGCACUCUAUAAAAAGACUGCCAAAAAAACACCAAAUAUGGGGACACAUGAGCUUCCAUUCGCAGUAUUUGCUAUAGAAAAUUAACAACAACAACAAAAACAGAAAAUAAAAAUAUAAAAUCAAAAAAAAACUGUGAUUAAAGUUCAUCAGAUAGCCCUGUGUUGUCCUUUCAAACAAACACCAACAUCAAUGUUUAUUCUCAGUGUUAUCUCUACAUUUUUUUAAAACAUCCAUACGCAACGCAAGGACCAAAUCUCACACAUGUCAUACCAGCAGUCUCCAAUCUAUAAUAUAUCCUAUCCUCGAUGUCCUUACAUAACAACAGCAUCCCCGAAAGAAGAGCCUUUUCAAAAAAGUAUCCUCAUAUAUUCUAUGCUGUGCUGUGCUAUAAGGGUUCGGUGAUUCUCAAAUGAAAAAUAAGGAUUUUUAGAAAUAAAACUGCUUUCGCAGCGGUACACAUAAAAGUAAAACUUUUAAAAUAUAAAUGAAAGUUAAAAAAAAAUCUAAAAUUUUAGAAGCCUUUCUAAAUCAAAACACUAUGCCGCUAUUUUCACAUGAACGGCCACGAGCCAUACAAACAAUCCUACAGUAUCUGUGCAAAGAUAAUGAUGAAGUGAGAGGAUGGAGAAGAACCCUUCCUUCUGUGUUUUCUGUAUGUUUUUUUUUUAAUAUACUCUGUUGUCAUUCGUGUGGACUAUGGGACUAUGCACGGCUAUGGCCUGGUGAUGGUAGAGUACUUGCAAUUAACACUCAUCCCCAAACUUAUACUCUCGUUGUGUAUAUAUGGGGGUAUAUCCUUUCUGAUUUACUCCUACGCUAUACGAGUAAACGUAUAUCGUUUCGUUGCUGAGCUGAGCUUUCUUCGAUAAGGCAAACACGCAGCAGUUUCCAUAGGAAAGGUAUGUUCUAAAUGUCCAUAGCCCGUAGCUACGCCCACCCACCUUGAGGGGUUUAUUGUCAUGAGAAACGAACUAAAACACGUUCACAGCCCCACAUUUUCGAAAAUCCUGUUUUGCCCAUACCACUUUGGGAGUUCUAUGAAACGCAAAAUCAAGUAACAUGAAGUGAUGUUGAUGUUAUUUUGGGCUAGAUACUCGAACUUUUUUGACACUGGGGAUGGAAAGUUUUGUAACAAUUUCUAUGUAGUUUAAUAUAUGUGGGUUUUAAAGCUCAAAAUUAAAAGGUGUUUUUUGUUUUGACUUUAAUUUCUAAUCUUUAAAAUCUAAAAUUUCUAGAAAAACAAAAUUUUAAAAAAGCUAAUUUUUCAACACAGUAUACAGCUGUCAACUGUCAAUAUUCGUAUGUUCGUAUUGAAAAUCCCUUCAUUUGCUCCGAUAAGUUAACUUUACUUCUAAACAUAAAAAAUAGAACAACGGUAUAGACUAUUAUGUUCAAAAAGCAGCACAUUUGAAACAUAGUUUCAUGGAAUUUUUCAAAAAACGUUGAGUAAAAAUGUAUCUUUACAUGGAAACAGAUUUUUACAAACAAACUUCUUCUCCGUAAAUCUUGUACAGUUGUGUUUAAAAAAAGAGGAACAUAUUUUAGGUAAAACUAUGUCUAUGCGAGUGGUGUCGAGAGCUCCAGAGCUCCUAAAGACCUUGAGCCCUAUCUACAACAAAUUAAAAAUAUAAAAAAGCGAGAUUAAAUAUACAUACAGGCUAGGUACAAAAUCUCCCUUUUUUGUGGAGCAGGAGCAUCAUUUCAGUAGUUGUUGGGUGCGACAUAGGGCGUUUAUGAUGGCAACUUAAUAGUAUUGGUUGUUUUUUGACAUCCUCCCCCUGCUGGUAUGUUGAUGCGAAAAAGGUAUGUACUUUCCUGCUUCGUAACCAGGACUAGGACCAGAACCAGGACCAUGCAGGCGUACAGCUACAGGCGGGGGUUUACAUCAGGUUUACAAAUGACGACGAUGAGGACGACUAUACGACCCGAGGAACGGAUAGUACACCUUUACGUAGGUAUAUUGUUGUUAGGCUGGGCUGUGAAUCGAAAUACGAAAUACCUUCCUCAUCUAUAGUGAUGUAGGUAGGUACACAACGAUUUUAUUGAUUUAUACUUUCCAAUGGUGUAGUAGUGCGAUUGCGAUACGCAGCAAGAAGGAUAUGAUGUUGUACGAGUGAGAGUGCGGCAAGGAGCAUUUCAG